UGUGCAGGCUGUUGCUGGCCCUCCUGGAGGGGCAUGUGCACGCUUGUCAUCUUUAUUUUCUCCAACUGUGCACAUAUUGUAGACCUGGAGUUCUUGUUGAUUUCGUUUCGAGUUGGGACUGCUGUGCCCAAAACGGGUCUGGCUUUGCCUUGCAUCUCCAGGUCUACGUCGUUUUCACAACCUCUUUGCAUGUGUCUAGAAUGUUGAAUCAUAUAAUAAAUAUACAACUUUCAGCAACGGAUCUCUUGGCUCUCGCAUCGAUGAAGAACGCAGCGAAAUGCGAUAAGUAAUGUGAAUUGCAGAAUUCAGUGAAUCAUCGAAUCUUUGAACGCAUCUUGCGCUCCUUGGUAUUCCAAGGAGCAUGCCUGUUUGAGUGUCAUUCAAAGUUCUCAACCACAUCGAAAGGUGUGGCUUGGAUAUGGGGGUUUCUGCAGGCUUUUUCUCAAAGUCGGCUCCCCUGAAACACAUUAGUGGUGUAUCUGCUACCUCAGGUGUGAUAAAUUAUCUAUGCCCUUGGUAUGAACAGAUUC
This 530-nucleotide ribosomal RNA is filed under the name Inocybe pruinosa. RNAcentral's name for it is "eukaryotic LSU rRNA". The stretch from base 226 to 379 matches the Rfam family "5.8S ribosomal RNA". The record is from RNAcentral. Lineage: Eukaryota; Fungi; Basidiomycota; Agaricomycetes; Agaricales; Inocybaceae.